CUCGCUCGACCCACUUGACAGUUCCGCCAUCUCUGGCACGAACGCCAGACGCCCCUUCAGAUCCGCGACUUCGUUCCCGACGACGCCUACGUGGCCCGGCGACCAGGAGAGGAUGAUUGAGGUGCUCACACAGGAUCACCUUCGACCUCCCAUCCCACUGUCUCCCUGCGACUCCGGCGCCUACCAGACCCGACUCGCCCAUAGAUCCGUCCGAAUAGACGAGGAGGGAGCCAAUGGGGAGGGACUGGACGGCUUGGCCGUGCUCGGUCGUACCACGCCGCACCUGCCCACAACAACCUCGGCACGACACAGGCGACGACGAGCUGACGGGCGAGUCGCGGUUUGAGGCCGGCUUUGGAGCGCGUCACGAGGGCGAUUGCGGUGGCCGAGGCGGAUGCGCGGGAAGCGCAGGAUGCGGUGUGGGGGCGGAACGACAAUCGAUGUUCACGUCGUCGAUCCAGCCAAAUCCGCAUGUCGACGCUGAUUCGCAGGACUCGAGGAGCGGCGAGUUGUAGAUGAGGAAGAGGAUGGGUGACAGCGGGUGCAGGACCGGUCCGACAAGAACGAGCGGAUCCAGCGGUAGGCGUGAUCGGGCAGGCCGCGGGACUUGAGGUUCUCCACGACCGCAUCUUCCGCCGACCUCCGCUUCCAUCCGCCGAAGUGCGAGGCCGGUAGCAUCCCGUGCGACUCGGCUAGGUGCGCUAAGCGAGCUGCGACGACGCGCUCAAGCCCCUUCGCGAUACAGCGCUUGAACGCGAUCAGACGGUCCGGCCAGGGCAGGGAUGUCGUUGGCGGGGAGUGCAGAACCAACCCCGGCCUCGUUUUCGUCUUCCCCUUUCCAUCUCCCUUCGCCACGUCGUCCGCCUUUGCCGCCCUUGUCGCUGCCGUCCUUGUCGCCGCCAUCCUCGUCGCCGCCGUCGUCAUCGUCGUCGUCUUGGUCGUCGCCGUCGCCAUCGUCUUCGCCGUCGUUUCUGCGGAGGUGCGUCUUGGCUCACUCGCGUGGCGGUCGUCUGCUUCGAGAGUAGCGGGGUGGACAAUAAACUCGGGGCUUACUUGUGCACCACUGACUCUCCUCCCUUCUUCCGCCUUUGCAGGUUGCGGUACUGGCCGGCGCGAAGUUGGGCAGUCGUGGUUGCGGCCGGGUGGAGGUUGGGUUUGCGGGUGCGCGGCGGGUAGUUGGGAGGGCGAGGCUGCUCGAGGAGGGUUUGGGAGGACGGUGAGAAGGAGGAUCGGGCGGAGGAGGCCAAGUUUGUCGAGGGCGGAGGUCGCCGUUGCCUCCGUCACGCUCGCCAUCUCGACCUCUUCCCACUCAUCCCUUUUCCUCCUCAUCAUCGCCUUCAUCACAUUCCUCGACCUCUUCUUCUCCGCCCACGCCCCUCUCUCAUCUUCCUCACGACCUGCGAUGCCUCGGAGUCUGAACGCGAGGUUUGCCGAGCGUCUCGCUGCCUUGCUCGCCUUGGCGAGCUCGUCGUCCCACCACGGGACUACUCGUCCGGCUCGGGCUCGGGCAAAGGGCGUGGCUGCGGAGAUGGCGAUCUGGAGUGCAUCGCGAGCCGAGCACGAGGUCGAGUGGUCGCUUCGGGUGUUCGAGGUUGUGCGGGUGGUAGGUGAUGGUGUUGGGCGCGAGGAAGUGCACGAGGUUGAAUCGGGAGAAAGUUGAAGUCGCCGGCGACAAUGACGAGCGAGGAGGGGGGAGUCGCGGCGAGCAGCGGUGGGAGGAUAGUGGAGACGGAAUGGUUGUACGCUCGACAUUGACUGCCACGACGUCGCCCGAAUCAACCGCGACUUGCGUCGCAGUGGCCGGACCGAGGCGGGUCGAGAGGAGGAUGAGGUUGUAAAUAGGCGCGGGUUCGUCGUCGGGGUGCGAGGUUGGUGGUGGUGUGACAAGUCGCCAUCUGGGAUCGUUGAAGGGCUUGAGGGGGCGAGGAGGUUCUUGGAUGAGGAGGAUGUCGGUGGUGGUCAGGUUGGGGUUUUUGCGGAGGCGGAGGAGGUUUUCUUCGGAGCGGUUGAGAUUUUAAGUGGUGAUUGCUCUUCUCCUUCGGUGCGGGUGCGACAAUGCGCCUCGCCCUCGACGUCACCCUCCUCUUCUCCUCACCCUCGCUUCUUUGCUCGCUCUUUGCCUGCGCCGCCGUCUUCGUCGUCCUCGCCUCCUCCCCCUUCUUCGAACGGUCGACCUUACGCCAUUCCUCUUUCUUUUCUCCGACUUCCUCUUUCGCUUUCGCGAUGGGGAAUUCCGCCUCGGUCUCGUCCGCCCACGAGCGGUCCGCCCCGCCAUCCGCCUCGCUCGUGGUCGGUUCGAAGUCGACAAUCGGCAUGGGGCGGUACUGGGUUGGGCGGUCGGUGAGCGGCGUCGGGACAUGAGACCAGAUCCCGCUAGUGGUCUCGGACUCGAGGAAGGGCAAGGGAGAUUGACGGCGGGCGGCGAGUCUUGGGGAGAGCGGCGAGUUGCCGACGAGGAUCAUGUCGGAGGUGGAUGGUGCGGAAGCGCCGGUUGAUGGCGUCGCGUCGAUGCAGUGGAGCUCGCUGGAGGGCGCUCGUAGCGAGGGCAAGAACGGAGUCUUCUCUGCUUCAAGAACGGUCCCGAGGUCGCUGUUGCCGGUGGAAGUUGCGCCGACGGCUGAUGGGGCGGAGGCGUCCUUCGAUGGCGUCGCGUAGGUGCGGGGGAGCUCGUUGGAGGGUGCUCGAAGCGAGGGCAAGAACGGAACCCCAUUCUCUUCAAGGACGGCGCCGAAGUCGUCGUUGCCGGAUCUCUCGAUGUAGAAGUCGGACAGUUCGGGCGGGAGGAUGGGCUCGAACGGGUUUGUGGGAUAGGAUAGGAUAGGAUAGGAUAGAUUCCGAGUUUGAAGUCGUUCAGGCCUGGAAAGACCCAUGUCGACUUGGGGCCACCUACAAGGGC
RNAcentral lists this unclassified non-coding RNA (2896 nucleotides) under Rhodotorula toruloides. Lineage: Eukaryota; Fungi; Basidiomycota; Microbotryomycetes; Sporidiobolales; Sporidiobolaceae. The record is from RNAcentral.